CUCUGGAUGCGUAGGUUCAAAUCCUGCCACUGUCG
Molecule: transfer RNA, 35 nt
Filed under: Entamoeba histolytica
Lineage: Eukaryota; Evosea; Mastigamoebida; Endamoebidae
Also listed under: 1 other name
Description: partial tRNA-Ser
Source: RNAcentral